Non-coding RNA from Caenorhabditis elegans, 153 nucleotides. Lineage: Eukaryota; Metazoa; Nematoda; Chromadorea; Rhabditida; Rhabditidae. The record is from Ensembl.
GAGUUCUCCAAGACGGACGGAGCUUUCGAGUUUCGUGCUUCGGCACGUCUCUCGGAGAGCCAAGACAAAUCCAAGUCAUAAGACAAAUCCAAAUCCAAUCAUCACGUGUAGUUCUCUAUAUACUACUUUAUGACAUAUCUUAUUAGUACAUGG